This 468-nucleotide ribosomal RNA is filed under the name uncultured bacterium. RNAcentral describes it as "partial 16S ribosomal RNA". It matches the Rfam family "Bacterial small subunit ribosomal RNA", at positions 28 to 507 of the family's 1533-position model. The record is from RNAcentral.
GACGAACGCUGGCGGCGUGCUUAACACAUGCAAGUCGAACGGAAAGGCCCUGCUUUUGUGGGGUGCUCGAGUGGCGAACGGGUGAGUAACACGUGAGUAACCUGCCCUUGACUUUGGGAUAACUUCAGGAAACUGGGGCUAAUACCGGAUAGGAGCUCCUGCUGCAUGGUGGGGGUUGGAAAGUUUCGGCGGUUGGGGAUGGACUCGCGGCUUAUCAGCUUGUUGGUGGGGUAGUGGCUUACCAAGGCUUUGACGGGUAGCCGGCCUGAGAGGGUGACCGGCCACAUUGGGACUGAGAUACGGCCCAGACUCCUACGGGAGGCAGCGGUGGGGAGUAUUGCACAAUGGGCGGAAGCCUGAUGCAGCAACGCCGCGUGCGGGAUGACGGCCUUCGGGGUGUAAACCGCUUUCGCCUGUGACGAAGCGUGAGUGACGGUAAUGGGUAAAGAAGCACCGGCUAACUACGUG